This 863-nucleotide ribosomal RNA is filed under the name uncultured Limnohabitans sp. Its description in RNAcentral is "bacterial SSU rRNA". It matches the Rfam family "Bacterial small subunit ribosomal RNA", at positions 28 to 892 of the family's 1533-position model. The record is from RNAcentral. Lineage: Bacteria; Pseudomonadati; Pseudomonadota; Betaproteobacteria; Burkholderiales; Comamonadaceae.
AUUGAACGCUGGCGGAAUGCUUUACACAUGCAAGUCGAACGGUAGAGGGGGCAACCCCUCGAGAGUGGCGAACGGGUGAGUAAUAUAUCGGAACGUGCCCAGUCGUGGGGGAAACGUAGCGAAAGUUACGCUAAUACCGCAUACGAUCUACGGAUGAAAGCGGGGGACUCGCAAGAGCCUCGCGCGAUUGGAGCGGCCGAUAUCAGAUUAGGUAGUUGGUGGGGUAAAGGCUCACCAGCCAACGAUCUGUAGCUGGUCUGAGAGGACGACCAGCCACACUGGAACUGAGACACGGUCCAGACUCCUACGGGAGGCAGCAGUGGGGAAUUUUGGACAAUGGACGCAAGUCUGAUCCAGCCAUUCCGCGUGCAGGAUGAAGGCCCUCGGUUGUAAACUGCUUUUGUACGGAACGAAAAGGUUUCUAUUAAUACUAGGAGCUCAUGACGGUACCGUAAGAAUAAGCACCGGCUAACUACGUGCCAGCAGCCGCGGUAAUACGUAGGGUGCAAGCGUUAAUCGGAAUUACUGGGCGUAAAGCGUGCGCAGGCGGUUAUGUAAGACAGAGGUGAAUCCCCGGGCUCAACCUGGGAACUGCCUUUGUGACUGCAUAGCUAGAGUACGGUAGAGGGGGAGGAAUUCCGCGUGUAGCAGUGAAAUGCGUAGAUAUGCGGAGGAACACCGAUGGCGAAGGCAUCCCCUGGACCUGUACUHACGCUCAUGCACGAAAGCGUGGGGAGCAAACAGGAUUAGAUACCCUGGUAGUCCACGCCCUAAACGAUGUCAACUGGUUGUUGGGUCUUCACUGACUCAGUAACGAAGCUAACGCGUGAAGUUGACCGCCUGGGGAGUACGGCCGCAAAUUG